RNAcentral lists this ribosomal RNA (402 nucleotides) under uncultured Thalassospira sp. RNAcentral describes it as "bacterial SSU rRNA". It matches the Rfam family "Bacterial small subunit ribosomal RNA", at positions 353 to 772 of the family's 1533-position model. The record is from RNAcentral. Lineage: Bacteria; Pseudomonadati; Pseudomonadota; Alphaproteobacteria; Rhodospirillales; Thalassospiraceae.
AGUGGGGAAUAUUGCGCAAUGGAGGAAACUCUGACGCAGCCAUGCCGCGUGAGUGAAGAAGGCCCUAGGGUUGUAAAACUCUUUCAGACGUGAUGAUGAUGACAGUAGCGUCAAAAGAAGUUCCGGCUAACUUCGUGCCAGCAGCCGCGGUAAUACGAAGGGAACUAGCGUUGUUCGGAUUUACUGGGCGUAAAGAGCAUGUAGGCGGAUUGGUCAGUUGGAGGUGAAAUCCCGGAGCUCAACUCCGGAACUGCCUUCAAUACUGCCAGUCUAGAAUCUGUAAGGGGGUGGUGGAAUUCCGAGUGUAGAGGUGAAAUUCGUAGAUAUUCGGAGGAACACCAGUGGCGAAGGCGACCACCUGGUACAGUAUUGACGCUGAGAUGCAAAAGCGUGGGGAGCAAA